This 85-nucleotide transfer RNA is filed under the name Felis catus (domestic cat). It matches the Rfam family "tRNA". Rfam says of the family: Transfer RNA (tRNA) molecules are approximately 80 nucleotides in length. Lineage: Eukaryota; Metazoa; Chordata; Mammalia; Carnivora; Felidae. The record is from Rfam by way of RNAcentral.
GCCUGGGUGGCUCAGUCGGUUAAGCGCCUGACUUCAGCUCAGGUCGUGAUCUCACAGCUUGUGGGUUCGAGCCCCACGUCUGGCU